UACGGAGGGGGCUAGCGUUGUUCGGAAUUACUGGGCGUAAAGCGCACGUAGGCGGCUUUGUAAGUUAGAGGUGAAAGCCCAGGGCUUAACCCUGGAACUGCCUUUAAGACUGCAAGGCUUGAAUCACGGAGAGGUCAGUGGAAUUCCGAGUGUAGAGGUGAAAUUCGUAGAUAUUCGGAAGAACACCAGUGGCGAAGGCGGCUGACUGGACGUGUAUUGACGCUGAGGUGCGAAAGCGUGGGGAGCAAACAGG
Molecule: ribosomal RNA, 253 nt
Filed under: uncultured bacterium
Lineage: Bacteria
Description: partial 16S ribosomal RNA
Rfam family: Bacterial small subunit ribosomal RNA
Source: RNAcentral